GGCGAGUGGCGAACGGGUGAGUAACAUAUCGGAACGUACCGGGCAGUGGGGGAUAACUGAUCGAAAGAUCAGCUAAUACCGCAUAUUUUCUGAGGAAGAAAGCAGGGGACCUUCGGGCCUUGCGCUAUCCGAGCGGCCGAUAUCUGAUUAGCUGGUUGGCGGGGUAAAGGCCCACCAAGGCGACGAUCAGUAGCGGGUCUGAGAGGACGAUCCGCCACACUGGGACUGAGACACGGCCCAGACUCCUACGGGAGGCAGCAGUGGGGAAUUUUGGACAAUGGGCGCAAGCCUGAUCCAGCCAUGCCGCGUGUCUGAAGAAGGCCUUCGGGUUGUAAAGGACUUUUGUCGGGGAAGAAAAGGUCGGGGUUAAUACCCCCGGCUGAUGACGGUACCCGAAGAAUAAGCACCGGCUAACUACGUGCCAGCAGCCGCGGUAAUACGUAGGGUGCGAGCGUUAAUCGGAAUUACUGGGCGUAAAGCGGGCGCAGACGGUUACUUAAGCAGGAUGUGAAAUCCCCGGGCUCAACCCGGGAAUUGCGUUCUGAACUGGGUGGCUAGAGUGUGUCAGAGGGAGGUAGAAUUCCACGUGUAGCAGUGAAAUGCGUAGAGAUGUGGAGGAAUACCGAUGGCGAAGGCAGCCUCCUGGGAUAACACUGACGUUCAUGCCCGAAAGCGUGGGUAGCAAACAGGAUUAGAUACCCUGGUAGUCCACGCCCUAAACGAUGUCGAUUAGCUGUUGGGCAGCCUGACUGCUUGGUAGCGAAGCUAACGCGUGAAAUCGACCGCCUGGGGAGUACGGUCGCAAGAUUAAAACUCAAAGGAAUUGACGGGGACCCGCACAAGCGGUGGAUGAUGUGGAUUAAUUCGAUGCAACGCGAAGAACCUUACCCGGUUUUGACAUGUACGGAAUCCUCCGGAGACGGGGGAGUGCCUUCGGGAGCCGUAACACAGGUGCUGCAUGGCUGUCGUCAGCUCGUGUCGUGAGAUGUUGGGUUAAGUCCCGCAACGAGCGCAACCCUUGUCAUUAGUUGCCAUCAUUCAGUUGGGCACUCUAAUGAGACUGCCGGUGACAAGCCGGAGGAAGG
RNAcentral lists this ribosomal RNA (1085 nucleotides) under Neisseria lactamica. RNAcentral's name for it is "bacterial SSU rRNA". It matches the Rfam family "Bacterial small subunit ribosomal RNA", at positions 90 to 1173 of the family's 1533-position model. Lineage: Bacteria; Pseudomonadati; Pseudomonadota; Betaproteobacteria; Neisseriales; Neisseriaceae. The record is from RNAcentral.